ACGCUCGACACCUACGGGAGCAGCAGUGGGGGAUAUUGCACAAUGGGGGGAACCCUGAUGCAGCGACGCCGCGUGAGGGAAGAAGGUUUUCGGAUUGUAAACCUCUGUCCUCAGGGAAGAAGAUGACGGUACCUGAGGAGGAAGCCACGGCUAACUACGUGCCUGCAGCCGCGGUAAUCUGAGCGGGCUGGCAAGGC
This 197-nucleotide ribosomal RNA is filed under the name uncultured bacterium. RNAcentral's name for it is "partial 16S ribosomal RNA". It matches the Rfam family "Bacterial small subunit ribosomal RNA", at positions 328 to 539 of the family's 1533-position model. The record is from RNAcentral.